Long non-coding RNA from Amblyraja radiata (thorny skate), 396 nucleotides. RefSeq lists it as uncharacterized. The record is from RefSeq and is a predicted model, not a curated record. NCBI's taxonomy places the organism in Eukaryota, Metazoa, Chordata, Chondrichthyes, Rajiformes, Rajidae. The transcript is spliced from 3 exons.
UAUAAAUUAUAAGAAUCUCUUGUCAUGUAUGAGGAUAUAAUUGUCAUGUAUAAGGAGAAAAAACUAUUUCUGGCGCUUUUUAACAUAUAACCUUCUUUUGCAGAUAUAUCAUAUAAUUGCGAUUAAAAUGACAGAUUGGGAAAAUUACAGGACUCAGACUGACUACAAAGACGCAUUGAUAUUAAAACUGUUUCCUUUCCAUUUUGCUAACAGUUACUCAUCACUAUUUUAUAUUGCAUUUCUUAGAAAGGACAAUCAGAAGUUCUUUCAAUUGAUUGGACUAUCUGACUUUGAAGAUAAUUGCGGGGAACUGAACAAUUGUGUGUCAGAGCUUAGUAUUCAGGUUCUUAUACUCAUGAUCUUUAAAAUGGGACCCAAGUUCAUAUCAGAUAUUUU